This is a long non-coding RNA of Cynoglossus semilaevis (tongue sole), 313 nucleotides long. RefSeq lists it as uncharacterized. The record is from RefSeq and is a predicted model, not a curated record. The transcript is spliced from 3 exons. NCBI's taxonomy places the organism in Eukaryota, Metazoa, Chordata, Actinopteri, Pleuronectiformes, Cynoglossidae.
GUCAGCCAUGAUGGAGGUUGGAACAACAGAAACACACGGUCUACAGAAACAGAGGCGUCAGAUAGUGCAGUGAUGCUGUAGAUGCUGCAGAGGACUGGAACAGACUCUGGAUGAUAGCGAAUGCAGCAGCCAGGAAGGAUAACAUCACAUCCGACACCACAGAGGACAGACGUGCUUCUGCAGCCAGCAGCCAGUACACCGCACAGACAUGGAGAAUAAGGCGUUGGAACUUGACUCUCUGAGUAUUCCAGUGGAGGACACCAGUCAUAGAGAAGGCCAGCCCCCGCCGCAGCCCCAGCAGCAGCCGCCUCAG